This is a long non-coding RNA of Dendroctonus ponderosae (mountain pine beetle), 1388 nucleotides long. RefSeq lists it as uncharacterized. The transcript has 4 exons. The record is from RefSeq and is a predicted model, not a curated record. Lineage: Eukaryota; Metazoa; Arthropoda; Insecta; Coleoptera; Curculionidae.
AGCAUCUAAUUCGCAGCAGCUUGUAACAGACAAACUUAAAACUCUGACUUUUAAGCAUUUUGUGGAAAUCUCGCACUUACCUACCUAAUUACGCCAGUCUUGUGUUUACGUCCUGGAAAGUGGUUACCAUUUUAUGCUAACAACCUUUCCGUGCAAUUUAAUUGUACUUAACGAAAUAAGUAUAAAAAAGCAGUGAAAAGCAAAUUACUCCAUUUAGCCUCAUAAUUCCGAAAGAAUGUAUCCCUAAGUUCUUCUCUACUUUCUCUACAACUUUAAGCAAGCUGCAUCAUUCGCUUAAGGCACAUCUACACAAUCCAACAGGAUGAACAGGGCGCGGCUACAUUAAGCAAGCAACAAGAAGAACUGCACCGGAUGAAAACUGAUUCGCAGCAGCCCUCGUUUAGCGAUUCACGUUAUGUAUGAAGCACAAUUAAAAGGGCGUCCCAUUGGAGCCCCACGGAGCAACCAUUGUGUCUGAAAACAACUAACAUUGCAAUGGGCUUGUAAUAAUGUCAGAAUAACGUGCCAUUGACUGCUGCUGAUUGUGAUGGACGUGGAUCUGCAAGCCCAAUUGAUAUAUCAUUCCUUGCAAGAAUCUUAAUUGAACAAGAAAGUUACUUCUGAUAAAGUUUACCCGAAUUUGGUUAUUUUCCUUGUUGGCUCCCACUUUAAAAUUGUGGUUAUUUCUUCAUGUAGAUGAAAAUUUCUGUUUGUUUAUCAAUUCCUCUGUUGUCUUUGUUAAAAGAAAAGUAUUUGUUCCUUAGUCUCGCUGGUUUAUGUUAAUAUUUUCCUCAAGUUUGUCGGUUGUUUUUUUGCAUUCAAGAAAACAAAAAUGUCAUUCACAUUGCAAUAAAUACAAAACUGCAAUCCAAGUGCGAACCACACUAGGAAAGUCGGCCGAGUUCUAUGUGCUCCUUCAAAAACCCGCGCAAGCAAAGAUUUAAAUUUAAAUUUUUUUUAGCGAAGAACAUCAGGCAAAAGUAGAAUUGGUUCUGGAUAGAUGGACAAUCCAAAACGGGGUUUGUUUAAAUAUUCGGUUAGUUCCAUAGCGUUGGAUGUUUUAAGCAAACAUGCACAUAAUGAUCGAACCUCGGCCUUUAAGUUUCAACAGAAUAUUUGAUUACAAACCUAAUUUUAAUUACCGAACCUGAUAUUAGUUAGGAAACUACAGCAGCAUUUAUGCUACACAAAAUCGGCUUCAAAUUAAACGAAAUAAUUUUUAAUUUCUAGUUUAUUUAAGCGGCAAAUCGCGUGCAACGUAGCUUUUAUUAUUUUAUUAUUUAUUCAUGAUUGUUUAUGUUACUGCUUCGAUAAAAGUUCUGAUGAUGCAAUCAAAAUAAACGACAUUUUGGAAAAGCAGAAAACAUUUGUUAUUAUUACUAUGGAAA